ACCUAAGUUAAAGUCUUGUAACACAAAUUGGUACAAUCGCGAUAACGUUAUCGCCACAAUGUUAUCAAAACUGUUGACCCUCUACCAGAGACAUUGACCUAUUUUCCAGAAUGGUCCAUGAUCAAAUACAGUGUUAUAGCACGAAACGGUACACUGGCAGGAAUCUUUCAGUGAAGAAUCAGCAUCGUCACUGAAACGGCUCUUGGCGGGGUUAUUUGAAUAUCUAACUGUCCUGAAUGAUCCUGCAUGCCAGGAACGAUCCCUGCUAUUACAUGAGUCUUUCUAAUGCGUUCCGGAGUCGAUAUGCCAUAGGAAUACAGAAUACGUCUAGUACAGAAGGAGACGUAGCCUAAGGCAGAAAAAAAUGGCCGCCACGAAUUGGAAGACUUGCAAGAGGUUUUUGAUGUACAAGGAGGAGAAUACUGAAAGGAGAAAGAUGAGAAAGGUGUCUCGUUUAUGGUAUGAGGUUGUCUCAUUCGCCCUCUUCCCAGCAUGGACGUACCCUUCGACCUGGGCGUCUCCAUAACGGAAUUCGUUCUCUCUGACCCUGAACGAUGCGUGUCUGCGGAUAAUGCGCCAUUUUAACUUCGUGGGAGAAAAUACUCUUGGAGAAUUUUAUAAUGACGACUCGUUACACUAUACCCGUAUUUCAUACUACAUUACCUAUGGUAUCUAUAAGUUUAAUCUUUUGUACUCGACUGUACAUUUAUAUAGUAUUCAAUUUUACUAAGUUCCAUAUUACUUUUGAAUCACAAAUUACUUGGAAUUUAUGCGACUGAAAUUUCGAUAUUUUUAAAUUCUAGAAUUGGAAAGGUUAUUUGAAUUCAAGACAAUCGACAAGAGGGUACAGAUUUAUAGGAAUUGUUCAAUCGAUACGAGAUGAAUACUUAUCCGGAAUUGAAUUUGAUAUCAAAUUAAGAUUGAUUUAGAAAUCUUUAAAGGUUUUCUCCUUUCCAUUUCUUGACUCUGUGCAUAAAAUUCCUGUCAUAUUUCUUUAAGGGAAAUUCACUGAGCUUACUGGAACUUGUAGUUCACUCGCAAGGCAGAUGUCUGACGACUUUAUAGUCUAUAGUCCAUAUAUCGCAUUGGGAGAGGCAUUUCUAUUUUUAAACUUAACGGACAGUCAAUUCUAUCCGUAGCUCGUAAACCGGAUUCAUAUCUUGGAAUCUCUAAGGGUAAAACCUAUGCAGAUGGUGCGACUUCUAUAUAUUGUAGAAGCAAUGCCUAACAUGCCUACUCCUUCUUACACACCUAUGAGGUAGACAUACGGGGUGAUUAAAAAUUAUAAUCAAACUUAAGUGUACUUAAAUGAUCAAUAAUUAAAAAGUCAUUAUAAGUAUCUUUAAGCAUCACAAUGAACAACCUUAACUUCCUUCGAGUACCUACGUAAAUUAAAUAAUAAAAUAUUUUAAUAAUUGUAAAAAUUUAAUAAACGCUAUAUACAUAUAGUAGCGACAUUCAAAAAUGUUUGAUGAUACUUCAUUUCCUGUUUUAAGGAUACCUUAUUAUAUUAGAUAUUAUAUACCUUAAUUAUAAUUGAUUUUAUAAUCACCCUAUAUGUGCCUACCUACUCAAUGCUCUUCUAGUUCUUCUCUCUUUAUCUUUCAGACGCACACGUCAUUCCUAUCAAGCACACGCCACAUUGUAUUUACUAUGAAUACGCGGAUGCUGCAUCCACCACGAGAAUUCCAUUGAGAUUUCUUAAUCGUCGAGACAGCAGCUUGCUUAUUUUACAUAGGAAAGAAGAAAAUUGAUCUUACCAAAAAUGUCUCUCUUGAAUAUAUAUAUGACUGAGAUAACUUGAAACGAAUAAAAAAAAAUUAAGAUGAUUAAAGAAUGUAAGCACAUAGUAAGAAGCUCAUCUCAUCAAUCUCUAUUCCAUAGGCAGUUCAUUUGAUCGUACAAGACCAAGCUGUCGGAACGCAUUUACAUUAUCAUAAAGUCAAGCACAGCCAGUUACGUGCACGUAAGUCUAACGCGAAGGGAUGCUGCACGCCUUGAAUUUACGUAGCUGUCUUGACAAAGGAGAUGAUGCCAGAGUCUGCUGUAACGCCAAGAAAUUUAUAGCAUCCUCCAUUCUAUUUGCGUACCCUGGAUACCUUGACACAAAUGACGUCAGAGAUACUGUUGGACGAUCUCGCAUAAAAUUACUGUUCAUCGUCAUUCGCUAUACAGGCGAAUUUGCCAUCCUUGAUCCGACUAUCUUAAUCAGGAUUCUCUCUUGGUAUCCUCAUCCUCUUAGUACCCAACAUUCCUUUUGAUCAUUUAUGAGUUUUUUUUUUUUUUUCUUUCGGUUUAAUGCAGUAUCUUUCGGAUCAAUAAAUUCUGGAGAUUCUUUCUAUCUGAAAUAAUAAUAAUAAUAAUCAUUGACACAUAAUCCAGCAGAGGUUCUCAGGGUCAGAGAGGUGUGGAUUGUUUUUGUUGAAAUACCUUUUCUGAGCAGCAUCCGUUUCCUGGAUAACGCUAAUAUUGAGAACCUCUUGUGGCGCCAGACGCCAUCUGGAAUGCGGUUCCCAACUCCUCCAGAGAAUCCCUAUCCACGUGGGUACUUCUCCCACGCGUUACACGUGUCUUCUACCUAGUGCUCUCUUAGAUGCAUUCACGGUUAUACUCUCCUGAGAAUUGGGUAAUACUGGCCCGUGCCACUGGACCCUUCUGGAAAUAAAAUUAACGAGCGACGACUAGGUUAUCCAAUAUCAGGCAUCCUCAUGACACUUACCACUUACCACUAUGUACCUUUGUACAAGAUUCCUGUGGGCAGAGUCAAUGAUAUAUCCAGAUUUGGCUGUGUAAACUAAGACGAAAGUACCUGUAGCAUUGAUUCAUUGAGAACUGCUCCGCAAGAGGAUGGAGUGAACGUAGCAGAUGUUAAUUUCGAUAUCUUGGCAUCUUGGUAAGAUGCCAAGAUCGAAGAGAGUCUAGGAAUUUUUCAUUAAUUCUAGGAAGCUGCUUCCGGAGCAGAGUGAGUUAUACUUAGGCGAUCGUACGAUUAACUACUAAUCUCUUUCUCUCUCUUGAAAUUCCUAGUGGACCCCACUUCCUCUCUGUGUGUUACUGUGCCUUUAUACACGGCCGACUACUAUCUGCAUCCCCGGCAGACGCCAUACCCCUUUUCCCUACUGUUCUAUUUUCGGAACGCGCCAUGUAGCUGGCCCUAAAUAUAGCUGAGUCCAGCUUAAUAUAGAUCCUGAGGGCCCGUAGAGACUUUAAUUCAUUUGUCUAGACUGCUUCGUACGUAAGGCAUUACUUUUCGGACAGUUUUUUUCAACAGCUACCACCAUGACAUCGACCCCUUUGAACUUUCACCCUGAAGACAUCUGACUAAGGUCAAUCACAGACUGACCAAGUCAUCUAGAUCCCAAGGGUUGAUUGAUGCACGGGGAGCUUAACGAGGCACUUUUUUAUCCACCUCAGACAGAUUCACCACUCACCAGUCUCUGCAAUUUCGUUUAAAAGUCAAAAAACCAGGAGAUUUACGAGAGCAGAAGAUGAAAGUGAGUCUAAUGCAAAGAGUGAAGUGAAAAAAAGAAAAGUAUCUAAUUAGACACACUCUCAAUAUAUUUAUCUUGAGUUAAUUGCAUGGUUAAUACGGAGAGACCACCGAGGAACGUUAUCUCAAUUAAUUUGCAGAUUUUCCGAGGGCAAAUAUGCAAGAAAGCAUCAAUGUGAAUCAUCCAGGAAUGUAACCUGCUCCGUGGUGGACGGCUGCCACAGUGAAGCAGGAUGAAAGGUGUAGCUUCUCGUGCACGUUUCACGCGUGAGUCACGUGCCAGCGUUUAGGUUAUGGCCUCUUCUACCUCGCCUAACUCACGCAUUGCCGUUUCUGCACGCACUCACGCACGCAUCCAGCAAUUUCUUGGCCAGUAACGGGUUACCCUGGUGCUGCUUGGCAAACAAAAUGAUUAUUCCGAAUGAGUAGAGGUACCCUAGGUAAAUUCCAUGGAGCAUCUUAAGAAUUUUCUCACGGGACAUAUCCAUUAUCCAUGACUCACGUAGCCAAUGGUUGAUAUAUAAAUUUAAAUGACUUAUCGGGAGAAUAAAUAACCGUAUACAUAUAUGUAACAAAAUAUCAAACUGUUUUUUCUUCUCCUAAGAAUAAAAGUUGUUGUAAUUAUUAUUUGCUAGCUCCUUGGCUAUUAUAAGUGUCCGCUUAUAGGAGCUCGAAGGGACCUGAUGUUGCUCUUGCAAGAAUGCUCCUUCAUCGAUAAAUUAAUAGGCAAGAACCGCAUGCCAUGCCCAUGAAGUUCAACCGUAAUAACAUAAUAAUACCAUAGAUGCCACCCGACUAAUUUAUUCGCGAUUGGAACAUGGUAAAAAGUUAAAGACUGCCCUAAGGGUCCAAUGAUCGUCCCAUCCCUCCUAUGCUUCUCUUCUAUACAAGGAGGGGAGGGACUCCACAUCUCUGCUAUCUUUCGCAUUUUUAGUCUGCCUCGCUCUUUCUCGGUCUACGAGACUCUAUUGGAAGCAGUUGGUGACUGGCAGACAUAAAGAAAAAAAAGUUCAAGGAUUCCUAAUGAAUCGUUUAAACGGAUUGCGAAUCAUUGAGAAAGAAUCUAACCUUGACACAAAAGACCAGAAGAAUGACGUUUUACUACCAGUCAACUUGUGUCAAUGCGUUUCAAAGAUAGUUGAGAGUGUUGCCAUAGGCAAAGGUGAACUUUGAAAAACAUUCAGGACCGACCAAGAAGAAAGACAGUCGAAGGCAGCUGAUAAUGAUGAUAAUGAUGAUGAUGAUGAUGUAUGCGAAUAAUAAUGAGAUACUAUGAAUAUGGUAAUAGGCUUUUGGACGAUUAGGUGUCAGCCACUGCGAAUGACGUGUCUUCUUGUCUCUAACACGUAUGAAAUUGCUGCUGCUCCGACUGUACCGUAAUGUACCUACUAGGUUUGCCUUUCAUUCUCUUCCUGAACGCCGGCCUCCUUUGAACUUGUAAAGAUCCAGCAGGACUUUCUUGCUCCAUUUGAAUAAAGGACUUAAAUAAAAUGCAGAGAAGCUUAUUUACUCGAGGAAUGGAAUUUCAGUGAUGUUCAAGUAUCUCAUAGGAAUAUACGGAAUAUACGGAAUAUACGGAAGAUACUAGAAACAGCUUGUACCCUUUAGGCAUCUAUAACGUGCAGAGCCAAGAAGAACGUGAGGCAUUGUGCGUAAAGUUACACGAUGCAUUGUUCUCGGUUUCUUGUAUCCCAUAUUGCCAUCAUCAUCGCCAUAUUGGGACAGAAGCCAGGCACCAUAUGUAUAUACAUAUAUGAGAUACAGCAAGAAAUGAAAAUUGUAGGGAAACCUGAAAAUUGAUACGGACAGUAAAAAUUCUUAAGGCACAAUGACUCCCGUCAGUAAAGAUUCAACGAGGUUACGUCACGAUAACAAUUUAUACUUUAGAAGUCCAUUAAUCAUAGAGUGAUAGAUUGGAAUUUGACUGUUAUCACUUUGUCAUUCAGUUGCCAAAGAAGUAUGCGAAAUUGAUCUCGGAAAUUAUCCUCAGCUGUCACUCGUCCACUGUCAAUUUACAUAUGAACGAUAAGUCAGAAUCCAAACACGUGUCUCAUUGGCAAUUUCGUUACAGGUUCUUGACAGUUAUCAAGUGUCUCGUUACCAGCUUCUUAGUAUACCCAUUAAGUGUUAUAGCGUGAACGGGUUUUCUGGAAAAAAAAAAAAAAAAAAAUUCUGGAUUUGAAGAUUUCAAAAUCUCGGAAAGGCGAGAACGCGUGAGAAUUAUUUGCAAAAAAAAAGACAAUUUUUCCGGUUUCUACGUAAUUCCACGAAGAGCCUGUCCUGUCCUUUUCGGUGCUGCCAUAUCAGGAGUUUAACAUUCAUGAGGGAUCGUCAGGUUACUCACGGACAUGCUGACUGCCGGCUGAGCUCCUUCGCGAGUUCACAAAAGAUGGAAGAAGGCUUGGCUUACGUAAUCAUCAUACGAACCCGUACUUUUAUAUGGCACUGCACGAAGCAUAGUUGGUAUGAAGCAAGUAGCCUGGAAUGCCAAAUAUCUUACGCGUCGUGAGAAAGGCCCAAUGUCAGAGGGGAAUGCACUCGGUGUGUAAGAAUAUAUUAUAUUUUCCUUUGCCUCCCUUAGCUUCUUCGAUCUAUCACUUAAUCUUUGGUAGGUUAGGAAAUUUACAAAAUUUAAAUACACUUCGCUAUCCGUUUGAAGGAACAGAGAAAACUUUAUCGGCCAGAACUUCCUAGAGCGUACAUAACCUCGAAACUGACUUCGGUGCCUUAUAAGGUAUGUUUUAAGUUACCUACGGAAGAUGCAUCUAUGCUUUGGUUCCACUUUAUAUUUGCAUCAACAUGCAUAUGCAUUCAACUGCAUUCUGCACUUUGCUACGAGCCAGGAAGUACGUUAAUCAUACUUCCGCUAAACCGGAAGGAUAUUACAGGUAAGGUGUUGUAUAUCG
Molecule: long non-coding RNA, 6396 nt
Organism: Cephus cinctus (wheat stem sawfly)
Lineage: Eukaryota; Metazoa; Arthropoda; Insecta; Hymenoptera; Cephidae
Exons: 9
Source: RefSeq, a predicted model, not a curated record